This 484-nucleotide ribosomal RNA is filed under the name uncultured bacterium. Its description in RNAcentral is "partial 16S ribosomal RNA". It matches the Rfam family "Bacterial small subunit ribosomal RNA", at positions 28 to 507 of the family's 1533-position model. The record is from RNAcentral.
AUUGAACGCUGGCGGCAUGCUUUACACAUGCAAGUCGAACGGCAGCGCGGGCCUCGGCCUGGCGGCGCGUGGCGAACGGGUGAGUAAUGCAUCGGAACGUGCCCAGUAGUGGGGGAUAGCCCGGCGACAGCCGGAUUAAUACCGCAUACGACCUGAGGGUGAAAGCGGGGGACCGAAAGGCCUCGCGCUAUUGGAGCGGCCGAUGUCGGAUUAGCUAGUUGGUGGGGUAAAGGCUUACCAAGGCGACGAUCCGUAGCUGGUCUGAGAGGACGACCAGCCACACUGGGACUGAGACACGGCCCAGACUCCUACGGGAGGCAGCAGUGGGGAAUUUUGGACAAUGGGGGCAACCCUGAUCCAGCCAUGCCGCGUGCGGGAAGAAGGCCUUCGGGUUGUAAACCGCUUUUGUUCGGGAAGAAAUACUCUGGGCUAAUACCCCGGGGGGAUGACGGUACCGGAAGAAUAAGCACCGGCUAACUACGUG